Long non-coding RNA from Austrofundulus limnaeus, 709 nucleotides. RefSeq lists it as uncharacterized. Lineage: Eukaryota; Metazoa; Chordata; Actinopteri; Cyprinodontiformes; Rivulidae. The transcript has 3 exons. The record is from RefSeq and is a predicted model, not a curated record.
UGUGUGUGUGUGUGUGUGUAGGCGAGUUUCCAGUGUUUCCUGCCUACUAACUGACUGAGCAGUGUUUUCUCAGCUGCACUAACCAUGAGAGCGAAGAAAAGAUGUUUUCAUGGAUUUCGUCUCCUUUCCUUCAGCUGACUGAAAACACACCUGGCACUGGGAUAAGCCUCGGCYCUGUCCAGUGUCAAACCAGCUAAUAUUUCCCUGAUGCUUCUGGCCUCACAGCUGCUUCAGGCAUCAACUCACCUCCAACACCAAAGAAASGUUUCCUCAUCCCAUCCACCUCAGGUUGAAGAUACCAACACAUCAUCUGCACAAUGCAGAGUGUUUCUGACCACCACAGCCUGGAUUAUAAACAUGGGGCAGCCCUGGUGGAGUCCAACACCUACUGGUCCUGAUGAGCUUGACCUUGUUGUGAGGAUGCAGACACAGCACUUGCUUUGAUUGUAGCUCUUGUUUUGAUUGCCUUUAAAAGCAGUUCCCUCACACAGGGAACACAUUCGUGAGCCUUCUUUAGACCCACAAAGUGUAAACCUCCAUGACCUCCUCAAUCACUCUUCAAGGCUUUCAUGAAAAAGUCACAGUGAUCCUCCUAAAUCUGAGAUUUGGCAGUAGRUUGGCUCUUCCUUUCAUCACCUUUAAAUUUACCAGAUGUUGUUGUUUGCCAUAUCUUUCUACUUUAACAAUAAAAAUCAAUAAAUCUUGAAAA